UACGUAGGAGGCAAGCGUUGUCCGGAAUUACUGGGCGUAAAGAGCGUGUAGGCGGUAGAGUAAGUCUGUAGUGAAAGCGCAUGGCUCAACUAUGCGAGGUCUAUGGAAACUGCUCAACUGGAGGAAGGUAGAGGAAGGUGGAAUUCCCGGUGUAGUGGUGAAAUGCGUAGAGAUCGGGAGGAACACCAGUGGCGAAGGCGGCUACCUGGACCAGCAUUGACACUCAAGCACGAAAGCGUGGGGAGCAAACAGG
Molecule: ribosomal RNA, 253 nt
Filed under: uncultured bacterium
Lineage: Bacteria
Description: partial 16S ribosomal RNA
Rfam family: Bacterial small subunit ribosomal RNA
Source: RNAcentral